RNAcentral lists this ribosomal RNA (279 nucleotides) under uncultured bacterium. RNAcentral's name for it is "partial 16S ribosomal RNA". It matches the Rfam family "Bacterial small subunit ribosomal RNA", at positions 506 to 784 of the family's 1533-position model. The record is from RNAcentral.
UGCCAGCCGCCGCGGUAAUACGUACUGUGCGAACGUUAUUCGGAAUCACUGGGCUUAAAGGGUGCGUAGGCGGUCAUUUAAGUAGGGUGUGAAAUCCCCCGGCUCAACCGGGGAACUGCGCUCUAAACUGGAUGGCUUGAGUAAGAUAGGGGUGUGCGGAACUUCCGGUGGAGCGGUGAAGUGCAUUGAUAUCAUCAGGAACACCGGUGGCGAAGGCGGCUCACUGGAUCUCUUCUGACGCUGAGGCACGAAAGCUAGGGUAGCGAACGGGAUUAGAUA